Molecule: ribosomal RNA, 465 nt
Filed under: uncultured bacterium
Lineage: Bacteria
Description: bacterial SSU rRNA
Rfam family: Bacterial small subunit ribosomal RNA
Source: RNAcentral
GACGAACGCUGGCGGCGUGCUUAACACAUGCAAGUCGAACGGAGCACCCUUGACUGAGGUUUCGGCCAAAUGAUAGGAAUGCUUAGUGGCGGACUGGUGAGUAACGCGUGAGGAACCUACCUUCCAGAGGGGGACAACAGUUGGAAACGACUGCUAAUACCGCAUGACGCAUGACCGGGGCAUCCCGGGCAUGUCAAAGAUUUUAUCGCUGGAAGAUGGCCUCGCGUCUGAUUAGCUAGAUGGUGGGGUAACGGCCCACCAUGGCGACGAUCAGUAGCCGGACUGAGAGGUUGACCGGCCACAUUGGGACUGAGAUACGGCCCAGACUCCUACGGGAGGCAGCAGUGGGGAAUAUUGGGCAAUGGACGCAAGUCUGACCCAGCAACGCCGCGUGAAGGAAGAAGGCUUUCGGGUUGUAAACUUCUUUUGUCAGGGAAGAGUAGAAGACGGUACCUGACGAAUAAG